Molecule: long non-coding RNA, 1095 nt
Organism: Sinocyclocheilus rhinocerous
Lineage: Eukaryota; Metazoa; Chordata; Actinopteri; Cypriniformes; Cyprinidae
Exons: 4
Source: RefSeq, a predicted model, not a curated record
UGAGAUAGCAGUCACAGUGUAAGGAUGCAGAAAGAGAUUGUCAUGCUUGAAAUUAUGUGCAUGCUUCAAUCUUUGGACGGUGGAAGAAAGCAUGCAGCUGAUUGAAUGAUUGAAAGACAGCUGAUCUGCAUCAAGAGAGACAUGGCAUCAGAUGAGAAGCUCAGCUAGUGUUUGGUUUCAUACGUGUCUUUCCUCUUCAUCUGUGACAAACUGUGAUUCAAGCUCUUCUAAAUGGAUUAUUCCUCAGACAGUUGCAAACACUAAUUUAUUGUCAUGGGCUGUGACUAUACAAUGCAUGAUCCUUUGCCUUUCUAGGCAUUGUGUGAGAAACCGUUUUCUUCACUGUGGUGUUUGGUGAGGUUAAGACGUGUUUCUGUAUUUGUGAGAUGUUAGAUCUGAAUUUGAGGAACCUUGCACCAACAGGUGAAAUAAUUUCUGAAGUGAAGACCGUUCUAAUUUGAUUAUUGCUGUAAAAUUGUUCAAGUGUCUUGCUGUAUUACAAUUUUGUGGCUUUUACAUGUUGUACAUUAAUGGCCUUUUGGUUUUCACGCGUGUCUUGUCUUUAUCAAGACUUUUUAUUUUUUUUCCCUUCUGUGAGCAUCAGCAUGACUCUUGCAUUCUAUUACUGACGUGACCAUGGUUUUAGACCCUAUACUGAAUCUAUCAAUAUUGAACCGCUUUGUCUGUGCUGCCACCACUAUAUAUUGAAUGUACCAUGUACAACUAAGGAGUGUUCGAGUUUUAGGUUCUUUUUUUCCCUUCCCUUUCAAGCUGAAUGAACAAAGUGGCAUAGAUGGUCCGUGUCACCUUGUAUAUGCUUGGUUUCCUAACUUUAUAGAGAAAGUUAGUGUCUAUAAUGCAGCUUUUAACCCCGCUUUCUUUUGUCUGUUUCUUUCAUUUCCUGUUUAAGGAAGUCUAACUGCUUCUGUAGACCAAUGCUCUCUCCGAUAUCUGUGCUGUUUUGGUACUGAACCAUAGCCUUUCACACUCCUUUGGACUGUGACUAUGUAGGGCAGCCAGCAACAAAGCUGUCGUCAUUCCUGCUUUUCAUCUCUACCAGUCAGUGACAACGCAACAUUCAGGCUUUGACAAAUA